Molecule: transfer RNA, 74 nt
Filed under: Saccharothrix variisporea
Lineage: Bacteria; Bacillati; Actinomycetota; Actinomycetes; Pseudonocardiales; Pseudonocardiaceae
Description: Dactylosporangium variesporum tRNA
Rfam family: tRNA
About the family: Transfer RNA (tRNA) molecules are approximately 80 nucleotides in length. Their secondary structure includes four short double-helical elements and three loops (D, anti-codon, and T loops).
Source: Rfam by way of RNAcentral
CGGCGUGUAGCUCAGCCAGUCAGAGCACCGGGCUCUUAACCCGGAGGGCGCGGGGGCGGAACCCGCCACGCCGG